RNA transcript from Biomphalaria glabrata, 1342 nucleotides. RefSeq lists it as uncharacterized. The transcript has 7 exons. The record is from RefSeq and is a predicted model, not a curated record. NCBI's taxonomy places the organism in Eukaryota, Metazoa, Mollusca, Gastropoda, Planorbidae.
ACAAGUCCGGAAUAGCAUUGCACACAAAAUCGGGAAACUCCUCUUGGUGUAUUAAAAACACCUUGUCUAGAUCCGAGUAAUUUCAUGAAAACAAAUGUUCACUCUUGCCGGUCUUGGUAGCAGUACUGACUAGUCUAUUUCAUGACCAGUCAGCAGGCUACAACAGACUCAGACUUAGAAGAAGCGAGGUAGAAAGUCAGUCAGUAAGAGCGUCUAAGUUUUCUCCCUUGUUACAAUGGCUUACAGGAUGCCCACAGCAGGCGUCAAGACUCAAGAAUCCGACAUGUUCAGGUUUAACAUGGUGUAUCCUCCACUUCCACGACCGCAGUCCCGACAGGAAUGGGUGGACCCUGGCUGCAGCCUCAGGCCGAAGUUUGUUUGCAAGGCUCAUGCCGGCAGUAGCGACACUGCUCUGCACAAACAGAGUCCCAUGCAAGCCAAAGCUCACCUCCUACACCCGGCAGGCGUCAAACUGCCUGAGUCAGACAUGUUCCGACAUUACCACGUGGUUCCCACUGAGAGAAUUCUAAGGAAAGAGAUGAGAGAAGCUUCAAGAAAGGGUACUUGCUACAACGAUGGUGUUCAGAUGUGCUGUCCAGAGAUUUCCAAAGCGGACAAGCUCAACUGCCGACCAAUAACCUACGUCUAUCAGGAGUACUAUGUUGAGCCAAGGGGCAGCGAUGACUUGAGAAGCAACUGAAUCAACUGAAUCAGAUCAUUUGCGACGUCAUUUUUCUAUAAAGGAACUGGUUUGAAAAAUGUCAUCAAGAACGGGAAUAUUUGCAGAAUCGAAGCAACAAGGACUAGAAGCUUUUCGCAAAUGGUCAGCUACUUUAACCAUACCUAACAGGCCAGAACUGUGUACACCUGUAGAAUCGCUGUCCCCUCGACCUGAAGAAACUGUAUAUAGUCCUCUCAAGAUUGGAUUGAAGCCAGACUUCAGAAAGAAAAAAGAUGACUUGAGUAAUACAAGUGUACUUAGUUCAUUGUCAAAACCUCUUAAGUCAUUUGGAUGCAAUCAAGACAGCGAGAUGGCUAUUACCCCCUACUGGACAGACUGACCAGGAAGAAAGCUAAGGUCAACUACUACGGCAAGUCAACGCCGACUAGGCACAGUCAACUCAAUAGCAGCACUCUCAUCCAGAAGUAAUCUAACCAUGAGCACUUCCGGUCUGCAGAAGAAUGUCAACCAUCUAAAGCAGCAAAGUGACUCACCCACAUCGCACGUUGACUCUAUGCACAUGGAAGCUAGAGCAAAGCUGUUUUGAUUAUUAACGAUCACAUGGAUAUUGACUUGUCAUGUGAAUUUGUUUCAGUGGGGAAUAAGAAAAAUAAAACGCUU